UAGGACUGUUAUCUUAACGUUAACUGUUAAUAUUUUAAGAAGUGGUUGCAUUGGGUUGAAGAAGUGCAAUAUUAAAGUAAAAGCCAUGGGUCUUUUAGACCCAGUGUGUAAAGACACACCCUUGAGUUAUAACUCAGAGACACAUCU
Molecule: non-coding RNA, 147 nt
Organism: Chionomys nivalis (European snow vole)
Lineage: Eukaryota; Metazoa; Chordata; Mammalia; Rodentia; Cricetidae
Product: small Cajal body-specific RNA 1
Exons: 1
Source: RefSeq, a predicted model, not a curated record